RNAcentral lists this long non-coding RNA (1048 nucleotides) under Chrysolophus pictus (golden pheasant). RNAcentral describes it as "lncRNA (ENSCPIG00010002316.1)". Lineage: Eukaryota; Metazoa; Chordata; Aves; Galliformes; Phasianidae. The record is from RNAcentral.
AGUAACCCCUGCCACGUCCCACAAUGCCUCGCUCAGGUACUGCGCCCGCGAUUUCUACGAGCGGCUGCCGGAGCUGCGCACGGCCGUGGAUCAGCUGAGCAGCGGCUUCUUCAGCCCGCGCCAGCCCGACCUCUUCCGGGACAUCGUCAACAUGCUCAUGAACCACGACCGGUUUAAGGUCUUCGCCGACUACGAAGCGUACGUGAAAUGCCAGGAGCGCGUCAGCGAGCUGUACAAGGUGUGCCCACUGUAGGGUUCCCGAUCCCAUUCUGGGUUCCCCGACCCCACUGUUUUUCCCACCCCAUAGCGCCACCCCCUCUCCCCCCUUUUUGGGACAUUUUGGGUCGCUGACCCCAAAAAAUCCCCCUUAGGUUUAAGGUCUUCGCCGACUACGAAGCGUACGUGAAAUGCCAGGAGCGCGUCAGCGAGCUGUACAAGGACUCCCGACAGUGGACCCGCACGGUGAUCCGGAACAUCGCGGCGGCCGGGAAAUUCUCCAGCGACCGAACUAUCGCGCAGUACGCCCGCGAGAUCUGGGGCACGGAGCCCACCCGCCACCGCAUCCCCGCCCCCGACGAGCCUCGCCACUGACCGCCCCACAGCGCCCCCUAGCGCCCUACAGCGCCCCAUGUCAACCCAUAGCGCCCCAUAGCGCCUCAUGUCACUCCAUAGCACCCUGCGGCGCCACGUCACCCCAUAGCACCCCAUAGCGCCCCAUAGCACCCUACAGCACCCCAUGUCACCCCGUAGCGCCCCAUGUCACCCCACAGCGCCUCAUAUCUCCCCAUAGCACCCCACCCCAUAGCACCCUACGGCGCCCCAUGUAACCCUAUAGCGCCUCAUGUCUCCCCAUAGCGCCCUACGGCGCCCCAUGUCACCCCAUAGCGCCUCAUGUCUCCCCACAGCGCCUCAUGUCACCCCAUAGCACCCUACGGCGCCACAUGUCACCCCAUAGCACCCCAUAGUGCCCCAUAGCACCUCGUGUCACCCCAUAGCGCCCCAUAGCCCCCUACGAUGCCCCAUGUCACCCCAUCACGCUCCAUAGCGC